Molecule: non-coding RNA, 1001 nt
Organism: Labrus bergylta (ballan wrasse)
Lineage: Eukaryota; Metazoa; Chordata; Actinopteri; Labriformes; Labridae
Source: RefSeq, a predicted model, not a curated record
UGUUGGUGAAUGUUCAACAGAUGUUCGUUCUUCUUCUGUAUAAGGACCUGAAGAUAUCACAAGUCAAAUCACACUGUGCACAGUUUGUUUCAGUGUCUUUCUAUAUUUGCAUCUGUUGAUGAAUAAUAAAUCACACACAUUGGGGGUAGCAGGAUUUAGGAAAGUUUUAACAAAUAGGAUUCAAACCUAAGCCUCCAAGAACCCAGAAUAAGAGAAUAGCAAAAGAUCAGAAAGGUUAAAGCAAAGAAUUCCUUUCAUUUCAUCAAAAUCAAAUCAAAAAUGUGCUAAAUAAGGUGAAACGUUUCAAGCUUAAACAAGGAGGCUAUAACCGUAACUUAGAAUGAACUCCACUUUGGGUGACCAAGUGACACUCAACAACUGGGUGAGACUUAUUGUAAUAAAAACGUAAACUAAAUGUUGCCUGAUGUUCAAGUGUUCUAGUAAGUAUUUUGGCAACACUGUGAGAUAAUUCAAUCUAUACUCAAAACAGAGCAAGGAGUAUCCAGAACCAUGACGGCGACAGUUCACUCAGCUGGUGCUAACCGACCUUUGACACAGGAACCCCUCUAUUCUUUGAUCCAGUAGGUCGCAGUGUGAUGGCUGACUGAAGGACGAGCAGCACAUGAGAUGUUUGGUUGAACCUUAUUUGUGAAAAAACACUUUUUAUUUUAUUUUGCAUUGCAGAAAUGGUUUUCAUGCUUUGCGCCCUACAUGUGUUGAUGUUUAAAGAUAUAUUAAAGAGAUGUGGUUUGUAUUUUCAGAUGUAUUAUCUGUUAUUAUUUAGUGACAGUUAAACCCACAUGUUCCAUCUGCUGUGUGUAUUUACGUGAGUUUGAAACUGUGGUCAACCACCACCUUGAUGCUGCAGCUUUACUUUCAUUUGAAGCACGCUGGCCGAGUCCAAAUAAAAAAAUGAGUCUGACACUUUAAGUCUAAUGUGGUUGUAAAUGUCAUACAUGAGAAGACAGAAAAUAACUGUGCCAUUAAAGAAGUGUACUGGU